GAUGAACGCUGGCGGCGUGCCUAAUACAUGCAAGUCGAGCGAACGGACGAGAAGCUUGCUUCUCUGAUGUUAGCGGCGGACGGGUGAGUAACACGUGGAUAACCUACCUAUAAGACUGGGAUAACUUCGGGAAACCGGAGCUAAUACCGGAUAAUAUUUUGAACCGCAUGGUUCAAAAGUAAAAGACGGUCUUGCUGUCACUUAUAGAUGGAUCCGCGCUGCAUUAGCUAGUUGGUAAGGUAACGGCUUACCAAGGCAACGAUGCAUAGCCGACCUGAGAGGGUGAUCGGCCACACUGGAACUGAGACACGGUCCAGACUCCUACGGGAGGCAGCAGUAGGGAAUCUUCCGCAAUGGGCGAAAGCCUGACGGAGCAACGCCGCGUGAGUGAUGAAGGUCUUCGGAUCGUAAAACUCUGUUAUUAGGGAAGAAUAUAUGUGUAAGUAACUGUGCACAUCUUGACGGUACCUAAUCAGAAAGCCACGGCUAACUACGUGCCAGCAGCCGCCGUAAUACGUAAGUGGGCAGCGUUAUCCCGAAAUAUUUGGGCGUAAGCGCGCGUAGGCGGUUUUUUAGUCUGAUGUGAAAGCCCACGGCUCAACCGUGGAGGGUCAUUGGAAACUGGAAAACUUGAGUGCAGAAGAGGAAAGUGGAAUUCCAUGUGUAGCGGUGAAAUGCGCAGAGAUAUGGAGGAACACCAGUGGCGAAGGCGACUUUCUGGUCUGUAACUGACGCUGAUGUGCGAAAGCGUGGGGAUCAAACAGGAUUAGAUACCCUGGUAGUCCACGCCGUAAACGAUGAGUGCUAAGUGUUAGGGGGUUUCCGCCCCUUAGUGCUGCAGCUAACGCAUUAAGCACUCCGCCUGGGGAGUACGACCGCAAGGUUGAAACUCAAAGGAAUUGACGGGGACCCGCACAAGCGGUGGAGCAUGUGGUUUAAUUCGAAGCAACGCGAAGAACCUUACCAAAUCUUGACAUCCUUUGACAACUCUAGAGAUAGAGCCUUCCCCUUCGGGGGACAAAGUGACAGGUGGUGCAUGGUUGUCGUCAGCUCGUGUCGUGAGAUGUUGGGUUAAGUCCCGCAACGAGCGCAACCCUUAAGCUUAGUUGCCAUCAUUAAGUUGGGCACUCUAAGUUGACUGCCGGUGACAAACCGGAGGAAGGUGGGGAUGACGUCAAAUCAUCAUGCCCCUUAUGAUUUGGGCUACACACGUGCUACAAUGGACAAUACAAAGGGCAGCGAAACCGCGAGGUCAAGCAAAUCCCAUAAAGUUGUUCUCAGUUCGGAUUGUAGUCUGCAACUCGACUACAUGAAGCUGGAAUCGCUAGUAAUCGUAGAUCAGCAUGCUACGGUGAAUACGUUCCCGGGUCU
This 1371-nucleotide ribosomal RNA is filed under the name uncultured bacterium. RNAcentral's name for it is "bacterial SSU rRNA". It matches the Rfam family "Bacterial small subunit ribosomal RNA", at positions 28 to 1381 of the family's 1533-position model. The record is from RNAcentral.